CAAUCACAUUUUAUUAAUUGUAUAUGGUUACAGGGGUGAGAAGACUUUGGUUCUUUCAACCCUUAUCCAAAAGACAAACGCCCAGGAAAUGAAGUGGAUUAUCAUGAUAAUCCUGAAAGAUUUGAAGCUAGGAAUUAGUGAAAAAAAGCAUUUUUCAUGAAUUCCAUCCAGAUGCUGAAGACUUGUUUAAUGUUACAUGUGACUUAAAAUUAGUUUGUGAAAAACUAAGGGAUCGGAACCAACGUCAUAAGCGGCAGGAUAUUGAAGUUGGAAAAGCUGUGUGGCCUCAAUUAGCUAAGAGAGUUGCUAACGCUGCUGAAGCAUGGAAGA
Vicia villosa (hairy vetch) is the source of this 330-nucleotide long non-coding RNA. RefSeq lists it as uncharacterized. The transcript is spliced from 3 exons. NCBI's taxonomy places the organism in Eukaryota, Viridiplantae, Streptophyta, Magnoliopsida, Fabales, Fabaceae. The record is from RefSeq and is a predicted model, not a curated record.